CCCCCUCAGGAGGCUUUGGGGUCCUUCUCUGGACACGUUCCAGCCCCUCAACGUCCCUCCCAGAGUGACCGGCCCAAAAACUGGACCCACCACUGGAGGUGGGACCUCACCAGUACCGAGCACAAGGGGACUCUCAUUGCCCCACGUUGGCCACGCCGUUCCUGACACAAGGCCAAGAUGCUGGUGGCCACCUUGACCAACUGGGGGACACCGUUGGCUCCUGGUCACCCCCAGCUCCUUUUCCAGCCACUCCUCCCCCAGCCUGGUGUCACCCAAGGGGCAGGACCCAACAGUUGGCCAUGGUGAACCUCCCACCGUUGGCUUCAUCCCAUCCAGCCAACCUGGCCAGACCUUUCUGUAGGACCUUCCCAUCCUCCAGUAGAACCUUCCCACCCUCCAGUAGGACCUUCCCACCCUCCAGCAGAUCAACGCUCCCACCCAAAAGGCCAACCUAG
RNAcentral lists this long non-coding RNA (455 nucleotides) under Calidris pugnax (ruff). RNAcentral's name for it is "lncRNA (ENSCPUG00000000493.1)". The record is from RNAcentral. Lineage: Eukaryota; Metazoa; Chordata; Aves; Charadriiformes; Scolopacidae.